This 499-nucleotide ribosomal RNA is filed under the name Bombus ephippiatus. RNAcentral describes it as "partial 16S ribosomal RNA". The stretch from base 376 to 499 matches the Rfam family "Bacterial large subunit ribosomal RNA", at positions 2473 to 2597 of the family's 2925-position model. The record is from RNAcentral. Lineage: Eukaryota; Metazoa; Arthropoda; Insecta; Hymenoptera; Apidae.
GGCUUAUUGAUUUUAAUUUUAAGUCUAUCUGCCCAAUGAUUUAAUUAUUUAAUGGCUGCAGUAUAAUUGACUGUACAAAGGUAGCAUAAUCAAUUGUUUUUUAAUUGAAAACUGGAAUGAAAGAAUUAAUGAGAUAUAUACUGUCUCAUAUAUAUUUAAUUAAUUUAAAUUUUUAGUAAAAACGCUAAAAUAUAUUUAUGGGACGAUAAGACCCUAUAGAAUUUUAUAUUUAUAUUUAGAUUAAAAAUUAUUUUAAAUAUAAAUAUUUANUUGGGAGGAUUAGUAAAUUUAUCAAACUUUAUUUUAAAUAUAAACUUUGAUUUAAGAAUAAUUAUUGAUCUUGUAUUAUAAAUUAAAAGAAUAAAUUACCUUAGGGAUAACAGCGUAAUAUCUUUUUAAAGGUCAUAUUAAUAAAGAUGAUUGCGACCUCGAUGUUGAAUUAAGAUAAAUUUUAAAUGCAGAAGUUUAAUAAUUAAGUCUGUUCGACUUUUAAAAUCUU